Molecule: long non-coding RNA, 243 nt
Organism: Pieris rapae (cabbage white)
Lineage: Eukaryota; Metazoa; Arthropoda; Insecta; Lepidoptera; Pieridae
Exons: 2
Source: RefSeq, a predicted model, not a curated record
CGUAACAAUGGGCCGAUUAUUCCAUUUCAACAAGUGAAUGCUCGAACAGCGGCUUUGACAGGUGUUUCUGAAAGAACCGUGAACCGUAUAGUUUCAGAGGGAAAAAUCAUGGAAAGUAAUUUUACAGCGAGAACUGAAGUCCCUAAUCAAGCAGCUCAAGGACCUUCCACAUCCAUAGCUUGUGAUGACAAUUCCACACCAGAGAACACUACUUCCGAGGCUAAGACGAUAAAACUAGUCACU